This 450-nucleotide ribosomal RNA is filed under the name uncultured bacterium. RNAcentral's name for it is "partial 16S ribosomal RNA". It matches the Rfam family "Bacterial small subunit ribosomal RNA", at positions 354 to 796 of the family's 1533-position model. The record is from RNAcentral.
GUGGGGAAUUUUGGACAAUGGGGGAAACCCUGAUCCAGCCAUCCCGCGUGUGCGAUGAAGGCCUUCGGGUUGUAAAGCACUUUUGGCAGGGAAGAAACGGCGCUGAAUAAUACUUGGCGCAACUGACGGUACCUGCAGAAUAAGCACCGGCUAACUACGUGCCAGCAGCCGCGGUAAUACGUAGGGUGCAAGCGUUAAUCGGAAUUACUGGGCGUAAAGCGUGCGCAGGCGGUUCGGAAAGAAAGAUGUGAAAUCCCAGAGCUUAACUUUGGAAUGGCAUUUUUAACUACCGGGCUAGAGUAUGUCAGAGGGGGGUAGAAUUCCACGUGUAGCAGUGAAAUGCGUAGAGAUGUGGAGGAAUACCGAUGGCGAAGGCAGCCCCCUGGGAUAAUACUGACGCUCAUGCACGAAAGCGUGGGGAGCAAACAGGAUUAGAAACCCCAGUAGUCC